Molecule: ribosomal RNA, 253 nt
Filed under: uncultured bacterium
Lineage: Bacteria
Description: partial 16S ribosomal RNA
Rfam family: Bacterial small subunit ribosomal RNA
Source: RNAcentral
UACGUAGGGGGCUAGCGUUGUCCGGAAUCAUUGGGCGUAAAGCGCGCGUAGGCGGCCCGGUAAGUCCGCUGUGAAAGUCCAGGGCUCAACCCUGGAAAGCCGGUGGAUACUGCCGGGCUAGAGUCCGGGAGAGGCGAGUGGAAUUCCUGGUGUAGCGGUGGAAUGCGCAGAUAUCAGGAGGAACACCGGUGGCGAAGGCGGUUCUCUGGGCAUGUCCUGACGCUGAGGAGCGAAAGCGUGGGUAGCAAACAGG